CUUAGGCGUGUGACUGCGUACCUUUUGUAUAAUGGGUCAGCGACUUAUAUUCUGUAGCAAGGUUAACCGAAUAGGGGAGCCGAAGGGAAACCGAGUCUUAACUGGGCGUUAAGUUGCAGGGUAUAGACCCGAAACCCGGUGAUCUAGCCAUGGGCAGGUUGAAGGUUGGGUAACACUAACUGGAGGACCGAACCGACUAAUGUUGAAAAAUUAGCGGAUGACUUGUGGCUGGGGGUGAAAGGCCAAUCAAACCGGGAGAUAGCUGGUUCUCCCCGAAAGCUAUUUAGGUAGCGCCUCGUGAAUUCAUCUCCGGGGGUAGAGCACUGUUUCGGCAAGGGGGUCAUCCCGACUUACCAACCCGAUGCAAACUGCGAAUACCGGAGAAUGUUAUCACGGGAGACACACGGCGGGUGCUAACGUCCGUCGUGAAGAGGGAAACAACCCAGACCGCCAGCUAAGGUCCCAAAGUCAUGGUUAAGUGGGAAACGAUGUGGGAAGGCCCAGACAGCCAGGAUGUUGGCUUAGAAGCAGCCAUCAUUUAAAGAAAGCGUAA
This 553-nucleotide ribosomal RNA is filed under the name Escherichia coli. RNAcentral's name for it is "partial 23S ribosomal RNA". It matches the Rfam family "Bacterial large subunit ribosomal RNA", at positions 584 to 1137 of the family's 2925-position model. The record is from RNAcentral. Lineage: Bacteria; Pseudomonadati; Pseudomonadota; Gammaproteobacteria; Enterobacterales; Enterobacteriaceae.